AUAUUCGGGUCGACUCCCGGUUGACCCGCCUGGUGGUGGAAAACCGAGUUCCGUAACAUUCUGUCCUGCACAAAGCAUAAAGGUCUCGCCUCCUCUGCUCCCCGCCCCCCCCCUCCCCCCAAACCCCGAGAUCUUGUUCUACGCUGUGACAGUGAAUAAGACUGCAAAGAUCUAAGAGAGAAAUCAACCCAAAUGGCUAGACAAGCCUCUAGAAUCGUUAAAUCUUUGUCCUCUACGAUUUGCUUUCACAAUCCCCAUAUAUCUCCGCUCGCUCCAUCUUCUUCUUCUGCAUAUUCUCUGUUGCAGUCUCGCUCUUUCGCCGCUGCUUCUUCGCCUCCGCCGGCUGUCUUUGUGGACAAGAACACCCGUGUCAUUUGCCAAGGCAUCACCGGCAAGAACGGCACUUUUCACACUGAACAAGCCAUUGAAUAUGGCACCAAAAUGGUUGGUGGAGUGACACCUAAGAAGGGUGGGACAGAACACUUGGGACUUCCUGUUUUCAACACAGUUGCAGAAGCGAAGGCUGAAACAAAGGCUAAUGCAUCAGUGAUCUAUGUUCCUCCACCUUUUGCUGCUGCAGCUAUUAUGGAAGCCAUGGAAGCAGAAUUGGAUCUGGUUGUGUGCAUCACAGAAGGAAUCCCUCAACAUGACAUGGUUCGCGUGAAGGCUGCACUAAACAAGCAAUCAAAAACUAAACUAAUUGGUCCAAACUGCCCUGGUAUUAUCAAACCUGGAGAAUGCAAGAUUGGAAUUAUGCCUGGAUACAUUCACAAACCGGGGCGUGUAGGAAUUGUCUCUCGAUCUGGCACAUUGACUUAUGAGGCGGUCUUUCAAACAACUGCCGUUGGUCUGGGGCAAUCUACCUGUGUAGGUAUUGGUGGUGAUCCUUUCAAUGGUACAAAUUUUGUUGACUGCCUGAAGAAGUUUCUUGUAGAUCCUCAGACUGAAGGUAUCAUUCUUAUUGGUGAAAUAGGAGGCACUGCAGAAGAGGAUGCUGCUGCUCUGAUUAAGGAAAGUGGAACUCAAAAGCCUAUUGUUGCAUUUAUAGCUGGACUAACUGCUCCACCAGGGCGUCGCAUGGGUCAUGCUGGAGCUAUUGUAUCUGGGGGAAAGGGUACUGCCCAAGACAAAAUCAAAACUCUAAAAGCAGCUGGCGUCACAGUGGUGGAAUCUCCAGCAAAGAUUGGUGCUGCCAUGCUUGACGUGUUCAAAGAGAGGGGUCUUGUGAAUUAGUGUUUUCAUUUUGUGCUCACAUUUCAGUGAGUGGUUUGAUACACCUUUUCUUUUGAUGUAUCAAUUUGUUUAAACUUAAUCGAGGGAAAACGUGUUACCCUGAUUUUCUUGGACUGCCUGAUGAGGCAAGCACCUGAAGAGACUUUGAAGCCAUAGCAUUUUCUGGUGAAUUUUUCUUGCUGGAAGCUUUAGUUAUUGUGAGUGCCAAACUUCCAGUUCAACACUAGGAGUCAAUUUGGUAUUAGUUUAUAAUAAUGUUACGGAAUGCCCCGAAAAUUCAUUAUAUUACUUUCUUGAAACUCUACAUGAAUUCAAUUAUGCAAUUAUCUUUCUUGAAUUUCAGUUCUGCAA
This 1584-nucleotide unclassified non-coding RNA is filed under the name Hevea brasiliensis (rubber tree). The record is from RNAcentral. Lineage: Eukaryota; Viridiplantae; Streptophyta; Magnoliopsida; Malpighiales; Euphorbiaceae.